UACGGAGGGGGCUAGCGUUGUUCGGAAUUACUGGGCGUAAAGCGCACGUAGGCGGCUUUGCAAGUCAGAGGUGAAAGCCCGGGGCUCAACCCCGGAAUUGCCUUUGAGACUGCAUCGCUAGAAUUGUGGAGAGGUAAGUGGAAUUCCGAGUGUAGAGGUGAAAUUCGUAGAUAUUCGGAAGAACACCAGUGGCGAAGGCGACUUACUGGACGCAUAUUGACGCUGAGGUGCGAAAGCGUGGGGAGCAAACAGG
This 253-nucleotide ribosomal RNA is filed under the name uncultured bacterium. RNAcentral describes it as "partial 16S ribosomal RNA". It matches the Rfam family "Bacterial small subunit ribosomal RNA", at positions 524 to 776 of the family's 1533-position model. The record is from RNAcentral.